Molecule: ribosomal RNA, 486 nt
Filed under: uncultured bacterium
Lineage: Bacteria
Description: bacterial SSU rRNA
Rfam family: Bacterial small subunit ribosomal RNA
Source: RNAcentral
AUUGAACGCUGGCGGAAUGCUUUACACAUGCAAGUCGAACGGCAGCAUAGGUGCUUGCACCUGAUGGCGAGUGGCGAACGGGUGAGUAAUACAUUGGAACGUGCCCCGUUGUGGGGGAUAACGUAGCGAAAGUUACGCUAAUUCCGCAUACGAUCUUCGGAUGAAAGCGGGGGGCCGUAAGGCCUCGCGCGAUUGGAGCGGCCGAUGUUAGAUUAGGUAGUUGGUGGGGUAAAGGCUCACCAAGCCGACGAUCUAUAGCUGGUUUGAGAGGAUGAUCAGCCCCCCUGGGACUGAGACCCGGCCCAGACUCCUACGGGAGGCAGCAGUGGGGAAUUUUGGACAAUGGGCGCAAGCCUGAUCCAGCCCUUCCGCGUGCAGGACGAAGGCCUUCGGGUUGUAAACUGCUUUUGUACAGAACGAAAAGCUUUGGGUUAAUACCCUGGGGUCAUGACGGUAAAGGAAGAAUAAGCACCGGCUAACUACGUG